This 253-nucleotide ribosomal RNA is filed under the name uncultured bacterium. Its description in RNAcentral is "partial 16S ribosomal RNA". It matches the Rfam family "Bacterial small subunit ribosomal RNA", at positions 524 to 776 of the family's 1533-position model. The record is from RNAcentral.
UACGGAGGGGGCUAGCGUUGUUCGGAAUUACUGGGCGUAAAGCGCGCGUAGGCGGACCUGCAAGUCGGGGGUGAAAGCCCGAGGCUCAACCUCGGAACUGCCUUCGAUACUGCGGGUCUCGAGUCCGGGAGAGGUGAGUGGAAUUCCUAGUGUAGAGGUGAAAUUCGUAGAUAUCAGGAGGAACACCGGUGGCGAAGGCGCACACCUGGCCCGAUACUGACGCUGAGGCGCGAAAGCUAGGGGAGCAAACGGG